RNAcentral lists this ribosomal RNA (216 nucleotides) under Glomeromycotina sp. RNAcentral's name for it is "partial small subunit ribosomal RNA". The stretch from base 40 to 216 matches the Rfam family "Eukaryotic small subunit ribosomal RNA", at positions 686 to 864 of the family's 1831-position model. The record is from RNAcentral. Lineage: Eukaryota; Fungi; Glomeromycota.
GGGUCAGUAGGUUGGUCGUGCCACCGGUACGUACUGGUCUCACUGAUUCCUCCUUCCUGAAGAACCGUAAUGCCAUUAAUUUGGUGUUGCGGGGAAACAGGACUGUUACUUUGAGAAAUUUAGAGUGUUUAAAGCAAGCUAACGCUUGAAUACAUUAGCAUGGAAUAAUGAAAUAGGACGAUCGAUCCUAUUUUGUUGGUUUCUAGGAUUGACGUA